GACAGAGGCGGCGGGCGUUGUUCGGAAUCAUUGGGCUAAAAGCGCGUGUAGGCGGCCACGUAAGUGUCUUGUGAAAUCCCACGGCUUAACCGUGGAAUGGCUGGGCAAACUGCGUGGCUUGAGGCCGGUAGCGGCGCCUGGAUCUCUAGGUGGAGCGGUGAAAUGCGUAGAUAUCUAGAGGAACGCCCGGGGCGACAGCGGGGCGCUGUGCCGGUUCUGACGCUGAGACUCGAAAGCGUGGGUAGCAAACAGU
This 253-nucleotide ribosomal RNA is filed under the name uncultured bacterium. RNAcentral's name for it is "partial 16S ribosomal RNA". It matches the Rfam family "Bacterial small subunit ribosomal RNA", at positions 524 to 776 of the family's 1533-position model. The record is from RNAcentral.